GUUUGAGAUAUUUACCGCACCGCUACGCCCACGGUAAACUAGAACCGGUUGCCGCUGGACAAAUCUAAUGGCUAAUGCUGAAUAGAGCAAUAGUGAAAAGACAAUAAUGCCCCUUAGAGUACCCCCAACAAAACCCAUCAAUGAAUGGUUUUCUUGACAAAAGACAAUGGGAGAUCUUUCGACAGGUCACCCGGAAGCCACGGGAAAGCCGCUUCGUGAGCCUGGUGUCUUCUUUGCUUUAAUUGUCGCGUGCUCGCUGAAACAUUUCGGUCGAACACCUACUGGGCGUCUGUUCUGUUUCGUUCCUAGUCGGUGCUCCGCUUCGCUCUUCCAAUCGGUGGCCGCUGCCGGCGACUACCUCCCUUGCUCCUCUGGGAUUCAAGGCCCUCUCCUUGGUAAGCCAUGUCCAGUGCUCAUGCCGGUGGGGGAAGGACGCGAUCGUGGGAGGGGGUGGUUUAGGGCCGCCGCCAGCCGCAGUGGCUAACCCCCAAAAUCACGUAGGAGGAGAUUGCGGAUCUUCAAAACCUUUUUCCAGAUGUCCGGGUAUUGCCGGAAAAGGAGAUGGAGAUGGCUCGACGGAAGUGGGAGACAACGGCGAUUGUAGCCAAAAUCAUACGGCGCCGGGUUCCAAUCGAUCUGGUAGCCAAGGCAUUCAAGGAGAAAUGCAGAUUGGAGCGUGAUCAGAAAGCCCUAUAUGGCCCAUGGAUGCUAGCCACUAGAAAGCGCGAUCCUGGGGCAAGCUCCCAAGUGGGGGCGAGGAAGACGAUGAACGUGUCAACUCGCCCCGAAGUGCCAGACUCGUCCUCGGCUCGGUCCGUUCUACAGCCUCCUCCAUUGAACUCGGAGGGUCGGCGCUUAGCCACCAUCCGCUGAUCGAGUGACUACCAAAGCCAGUGUGCGCGGGAAAUAGCUUCAGGUUCCUCUCGGGAUCGGGCCAGGUUAUGGAAGGCCACCAUAGGGCUCUACCUCAGAUGUCAGUAGAACAACCUAAACGAAAGCUAAGAUAAGAAGAAACGAGUAAUCUUGCGCCACAUUGCUCUGAUUUGGCGGUUUUCUUGGUUUCUUUGGUAGAUUUCGUUAAUCGUCUCAACGUGCUGAGAGGAAAGGCAUGGCCGCCAUGAAUUCGUGGUCCUGUAAGAGGUAAUGAAGAGCUUCCAAUGACAAAUAAAAACCUCUCUUUUCUUCAUUGGUGAGUUAAUCUGAUACAUUGGAAUGGUACUAGAGGAGCUACAAGAAUGGAUUUUUGUGGCAUGACCUCUCCUAGGAUGAUCUUGUGCUCCUAGCUCACGGGAAUGAGUUUGUCCUCGAGGAUUCUGAGCUCUUGGUCAAUCCCUUUGGGUACUUCGAAAUUAAAAAAAAGGCUAGCAAAAGAUUUUUUUUUUUUUUUUGAAUUGGUUAUUGAAAUAGAAAACUAAGAAAUGUUGCAUUCUGAAGUGCUCUUCUUCCUGCAGUGCAACCUGGUAAGCUAGAACUUUUAGUGCUCUCUUUCAUACUUAAUUUUAUAUACUGCAUUUUUUUUCUGUUUGAGGCAGUUGCCUGAAGAUUCUUUGUUAAUUUGAAUCUGUGGUAGUACCAAAUACUAGGUAAUGGGUGAACUAGGUAUUUUUGUUUUGGACUAGUUGAAAGAUAAAAUGUGCUAGAUUCUUAUUAGAGUUCAGGACUCUUAUAUCUAUAAUUUUCUCUUUGGAUACUGCUUAUGGAAUUACUUUUUAUAGCUGAGCAGAUUCUUGGUUGUUAAAGUUUUAUGUAUUUGCCUUUGCUUGUUCUUUUGGAUGAAUCACCUAGAUAUUUGAAAAUCUAUUUUCCUGAAAAAAAUCAUAUAUAAAUGUGUUGCUUGUCAAAACCAAUUACCAUUUGCUUUUCUGUCAAAUGAUCAUAUAUUGCUUUGACUAACUGUGCUACUUUUGGAUUUAGACUCUGGCAACAGUGAUUCUGCAUGGUGCCGCCACAAAAGUUCCUCCCUCCCUCCUAUAUAGCAGAUGUGAAGCUAAUAUAUAAUUCAAAGUAGUUCUUUUUAUUUGCAGAAUUUUUGAAUUUCUAGUUUUCAGAUAUGGGUGCUAAUCAUGAGGAAAGAUGGAUGCCAUUUUUACUAGAAUCAGGAAGUGGUUCGGGGUUCCUUGGAUCUGAUGAUGCCAUUUUACCUUGUUGGACUAAGGGUAAAGCUGUAAAGAAUAUGCGGGUGCUGCAUUUCACCAGAUGCCAAAAGGGAUAAGGAAAAGGUUGUGGAUUUGUCAUGAUCAAAAUGCCUCCCUCAAACAAUUAGAAUGACAUCCAACAGGCAGCCCAAGAAAGAAACAAUGAGGUCACCUAUUUCAGAUGGCCCAAGGAACUCUUCAGCAGGGUCAGAGAGCCAGUCAUCUAAAUGUGGAAGCAGAAGAAUAACUGAUGCUUCUUUGGUAAAAGGUACAUCGGCGGGGCUAGAAUCGUUCGGAGAAGAAAAGGCAUAUGGUGAUUAAAUUUGAGGAAGUUCAACAGCAUCCUUUGCCUUCCUUUUAUAAUCCUUUUAUCUGUUGCCAACUUAUGCCUGUAAGUGGAGGAAUAGAGUGCAGAAAUGUUGCUAUGGGUUGGACAAAUGGGUUCAACCAGCCUUAAACCCCCAGCCAAUAGGCUGAAACAACUGCAGUCAAAAAACAUGAAUGUUUUUUAUUCUUUUUUGCCAUAACAACAGCAUUUAGGGGGAUGCUUUCUUACUUGAGAAAUCCAUUGUAAAAUUUACAUAAUCUAUGUGCUGUUCCAUUGCUUAUUGCUUUUUUUAUAAACCUUCGCUAUUGUUAAGUUCGAAUGCUACACAGCUGGUUCUUUUGC
Non-coding RNA from Phoenix dactylifera (date palm), 2805 nucleotides. Lineage: Eukaryota; Viridiplantae; Streptophyta; Magnoliopsida; Arecales; Arecaceae. The record is from RefSeq and is a predicted model, not a curated record.